AGCUUCUGCCCGCGCGGAGAUAAACAAGCACCGCGACCGCCGAGCAGCGCCGAACCCAGCGCGCCCAGUCAGACCCCAGGGCCUGUGUACCGAGCAUGCGCAGUUCCCGCCCAAGCCAGGAGCAGCGUCAACCUGAGACUCCCGAGACAUUAAGAAUUCGGAAGGGAUGAGAUGGUAGAGGGGCUAGAGCUACCUCCAAGCUUUAUCCUGAGGCGGGGAGUGAAGGAGAGAUGCCCAAGGCCCAAGAGGGGCCGCGAGGGCCUUUGUCCGAUGCCACCCAGUCUGUCAGCACUCCUAGAGCUUUGGUUUUAUCUUGUAUUAGCAUGUGAAGCUUUAAGGGGGGGGCACCUACAGGCUUCUGACUGAAGUUGUGUAAACGCAACAAAAUGAAGCUUUGGAGCGUUAGGACAUUGAUGGGAGGGUGACGCCCCCCUCUAGCAGCGCGCCAGAGGGGCGAGUCAGAGGCGGCCACACACCACGGAAGUCGGGUCCAAGCCCGCUGACGUCGCCGGGGUCCCGCCCACCAACCCUCUGGACCCGCCCACAUUUCUUCUAGACCCGCCCCUUUCGGUGCCGAACUGAAGUCGAGCUCUUCCCACGCCCUGUCAGCCACGGGUGAGUUGAAAACCUGGAGAGCGGAAUCCCGAACGGCAGCCGGAAGGCCCUGGACUCCUCAUAGCAACAGCCAGCUAGGGGCAUCUAGUGGGAAGCUGGGAUUCAUUCUAGCCAACCACGUGCCUUUACUCCUUCAACCAAUCGAGAAAAACGCUAGUCGUAGGAUCCGCAAGCCCACCUCCCAGUGCCUUGCCAGGCGGGGCUCUUCGCGCACGCUCUGCCAACCAAUCGUAGGUGAGCUGGCGAGUGACGGAAGCUUCGGCCAAGCCAACCAGAGCUCGCGAGCCCCUUGCCACCGAGGCCGGCGGGAUGGAGACAGGGACCGGCUGCUGGGGUUUGGGAGGGGCAGAGAUUGAGGAGCCAGUUGCUGUGCCCUGUUCUGGCAAAAGAACAAGAUGCGUUGCAAGCCAGAAUGAUGAAUUCCACUUUUCACGUCGCCUCCGUGGCAUUCUGCCUAAAUGAUGGGCAUGGAAAUGGUGCUGAGGGAUGUGGGCUGAAUCGAGAACACAGGGACUUUUGUCUUCAGGGUGAGAAAUGUUCCGGUCCUUAAGGAAACAUCGUGCAGCAGUUGCAUGGGUCUUCCAGGCGUUCCUCCCAAAACAUUAUUUUUUUUCUUUCACUAUUGAGUUUUAAAACUUAGCGUUCUGUCGCUAGCAUUGCAUCUUAGUUACACAUCCUCUCCCACCCAUAACGUCAAAUUUAGGAGACGAUACAUCCCCAAGCUUUCCUGCAUUAUUUUUUGCAGUAACUGGUUAUUCAGUUUACUUUCUUUAAACUAUGUCCUUCUCAAACUAGUCUCACCUGUUCGUUACUGUCGCACAUUUCCUGCGAAUAACACGUUUCUGUAGUUCUGUUGUUAGAGCCUGGCAUACCUCUCCCCGUUCCUCUUUCCCACAAGGUCAUCAUGCAGAGGGGAUUUUGGUCUGAGUUAAAAGCCAGGUAUUCUUUCACCAUCUUUUCUGUCGAUAGUCAAACUACUACAAAGACUACUCAAAUUUAGUAGUUUCUUAUUUCCCUAUAGCUUCGUUAUAUUAGAAUGGAUAACUUAUAUUUGCAUUACCUUGCUGUAAUGAACACACACCAAGUUUUCAUUUAAAAUUAUCAAGGACAAAUGUCCUCUGAAUUUAAAAAUGUGUAUGUAGUAAAAUAUAACUCAGCAUUUCUUGAUUACAUAUCAUUAAAAUAUGAAUGGUACUAUCUGAGCCACCAGAAUCAGCAGUGAAGGUAUUAUAUUAAUAAAAAGGACUAAGAAUCAGGACUGUUUUAAGGGAACUGGAACCGAAGAGGAUCUACUAUUUCAUCCUAGGCUAGUUAACAUGAAAUAGUGAAUUAAAAUUGAAAGAGCUUACAUGGAUGCUUCAUAUCUGAGCUACUUUGGCAGGGAUGUUUCAAGAGGAUGUAGGUAAGUAUGGUGUUCACCUAGCUUUCCAGAAGUCUCAUAUUUUGUGUAAAAUUGGUAUGCUUAUUCAUGGUUACUUUGGGUUAGUAGAAGCUAUACUUCUUUUCCAAGGAAAGACAGACUGUCUUAAGAUUCUAACUGUGCAUCUUGGUGAUAAGAAGUUCUUAGGGUUGUUAAAUAGAGCCAGGAAGCGUGAAGCUUUCUCUCUAGAUCAUGACAACUCAUCUAGUACCUUGCAUUACAAAGGAGCUCUAAGUCCAUUUACUUUGCAAGGAAUGAAGUUCCAGUGAUUAAUGUUUUUGAGAAAUUUGUAUUGGGAUUGUGGGGUCCAGAAGGUUGCCUUAAGUAACUGUUUUCAUGACUCCUAGGUCCCUAGAUGUUGAGAAGCUCUGGAUUGAAGCUGUCACAAAAAUAGUGAGUGGGCUCCGUAGUCACUCCAUUUAGCAUAAUACAGAGUAGGACAGCUUUGUGACAUUUCUCAGGCUAUUUCCCCUGACCUCUCAUCAAUGCUGACGUUUUUGAUAAGAAGGGGUAUAGAGACUGCAGCCCUUGGGGUGGUUACAGUUCAUUUAUUUACAGGCCUUAUAUUGACAGGCCUCAGAUUUCAUGCUCAGUACCAUAAAGGUUGAUUUUUAACCACCAAGAGGCAAAAGAAACAUGACAGGUCGGAGCAUAUUUUCUCACCUAUUCUGGCUUAAAUGAUGGUACUUACCUGAUUUGUGGUUGUAGGUGAAAUGUUGGGUGAAAGAUUAGCUGCUAUAAAAAGGAUGUCAGGACGUGUAGAGAAUUUAGAGGACUUGGGUGGGAGAUGGAUGUCUAUUUUCUAACCCCUUAGUCAUGUUCAUUCCGAUGCCAGCAUAAACUCUAUUUUGAGAUGAUUAUAGAAAUAACUUAUAUCUUCAUUUGUUUGUGGGAAAUAAAAAAUAAAAAUGAUAUAAAAGAAAUUUGAAUUAUUCCCAAGAGCUGUAAAUCUGUAAGAUAGUGAAAACUUAACGCAGUAACUGACACUGCAGGAUCCCUUUAGUUUCCAAAGUGCAUUGCCAGGAGAAUAAAAAGAAAGAAAAUCUUCAUUUCUCCUCUCUCCACUAAAUCUGAAAGGGAGUUAUCUCACCUAUAGCCAGAUACCUUCAAUUAUCGCACUUGUGUUACCGUGGAAACCCAAGUCCAUCCUUUCUUUCUGUAAAAGGUGUUGGAAAAGGUGGUAUGAAGUGGGAAAGGUACUGUAUUCUGGGACUUCCUGACACCAGCAAGAAGCAAAUAUGCAGAUAAUUUAAUAGAAACAAAUUAGUAGAGGAUGUUUGUAAUGCGAGGGGUACUUUUCGACUGUAAAACCCUGAUUCCUAAUGCUUCUUAUUAAAGCCUGCAUGCCUCUGAUUAAACAUAAAGGGGAAGGGCAUGUCAAGUACAUUUAGCACCUGUGAAACGCUGCUGGCAAGUAUAAGGAGAGCAGACGAUGGUUUCUUGACCUGUGAGGCUCCUAAUACAGUUGAGAAUCUGCAGUAUAUAUGUGGAGUGGAAAGGAAGGGGCAAAAUAAACUUUGUUCUUCCUUUAAAAAAUGUGAUAUGUCUCAGUGCUUUUGAAAAGAAAAGGAAUUAGAAUGCAGAAAUUAAGAGUAUGGAAACAACUCAAUAAAAGAAACGUAUGGGUGGAGAGAGUAGAUGUUUCAAAAGGCCAUUUUAAUCAGAAAAAAAAUCUGAAAGAAAAGACGUAAUGAUUAAAAUGUAGGCAGAAAAAAGAAAAAGCCUGAAGAAUCUUAAGAGCUAGAGGAUUCUGCGGAAAACAGAGCUUCAGUGUGGUUCAUUUAACAAAGCAGAAGAGCAGGCACAGUGUUGCUUGCGUACCCAGCAGUUUCCCUUUAUUUUUGCCAAAGAAGCUGGGAUGAAUCAGGAUUGGACUUUAAUAGCAUUGCUUUCCCUCUGCCCACGGUUAGUCCAAAAGUAGGCACGUGACUCAGUUCUUGUCAUUGGAAUGGGGAGAAGGCUGCUAGGGCUGGAGGGAUUUCUAGGAUAUUGACAAGAGUGAGGAAAUAUCCCCGUUUUCUGAUGUCGCUCUCUUUGCUUCCUGCUUUACACAUUGAAAUAUGAGAAUGUGGCCUCCAUUUGGGGGCUAUGAUGCAUUAUGACAUUAUGGUGCAAUACUGUAGAAAGCCAGCAACUUCGGAUGGCCAGGGAGGAGGAUGGGAAGAACCUAGGUCCUGCAUGACAACAUUGGACAGUCAAACCAACAUUAGAACUGCCCACAUUUGGACUUAUGGCUAAGUAAACAGCUGGUGUCUUUCAAUUUAAGUGUGUGUUGGUAAGGUUUUCUGCAUCUUACAGCAAAAUACAUCCCACCUGUUAACAAAAAGUAUGAGGGAUUCCAGCCAAAAUCGGGCUUUAAAAAAUCAGCAAGCAUUUGUGAGCACUUUCAUUUCACUAAUAUCUGAACGAUAGUUCAAAGAUACUAUAAUAUUAAUUGAGUAAUUACUGUGUAUAUUUUUUAGGCUCUGGGGAUAAAACAAUAAGCAAUUAGCCAAAAGAGCUUGUAUUCUAGCAGGAGAGACAGAUAUUAAGCAACCAAUUACAUGUUUAUAUUAUAAAAUAAUGGUUAUGCUUAAAACUAAUAAGGAAAAAUCAGGAAUUAGAAAGGGUAUAUAGUAAUUAUAUAAAUAAUAAAAUAUUACAAAAUAUAUAACUAAAUAACUGAAUGAAAUUACAAAAACAAACACUUUCCAAGUAAAUGAGAAUGAAAUGUAUAGUUUUUACUGACAUUCCCAGAGGUCGAGAGAAACAGUAAAUUGGAGUAGGUUAGUCCAGGAGAGUUGUCUGAAGCAAAUUAAUAUUGUAUCAGGUUUUGAAGGAAGUGGCGAAAGGACAGGCUAGAUGGGGCAGAAGAGAGCACUCUAGAUGUAAGGAACCAGAAGAGCAAAGGAAGAAAGCAGGAAUGAAGUAAGAGUGAAUGAGGGAAAUACCAGAAUCACUUGAUUUUUUAAAUUCCCUGUAGCAACAGCAUUCUAGGGGCAUCUCUCAGAGAAAAAGACAGAAAGAUGCCAGAAGUCUCAAAGCAAGAUUAUUUAAAGGUAUAAAAAUAAUAUAGGAGAAAAAUACAGAAGACAAAGUAGGAGUACAAGAGUGCAUUUGAAAUUAAGGCGUCAUUCAAAAUAAUGAAUAAUUUAUAAUGUGGGCGUCAAAAGAGUUGUCAUAAGAAGUAAUUAUGGAUUUAAGGGCAUCAAGAAGGAGGGAUUCAAACUUUCACAAAUAGAAAUAGAAGGAAACAUGAGGAGUGGCAAAAAAUGAAGACAGGUAGAAAAACAGUUUUUGCUUGUUAUUUUUCCAUGAUAGCUGUUAUUGACAUGCAUUAUGUAGAAAUGAAUGGAAUUUGUUUGAAAAGAAAAAUUUCAAUAGAGCAGUAAUACAUAAAGGUAGGCUUUUUGGUAAAUAGUGUAAUUUAAAAUGUUUUCACUAGAAUGCCUUUUUGUACCUUCCUGUAGGAAAAUCUUUUCAACAAAAAAAGCUGUAAGUCAUAAUAAGUUACAGAUUAGCAAAGCAUUUUUGAAAUAAAAAAAAACCCAUGAUUGCACUGUCUUCUCCAGUGACUGGGGAAAGGGACAGUGCUUUGUUCAUUUUUGCUUUACCAGCAUUCAGCACAUCGCCUAAAAACAAUUGUGGGAAUUCAUAAAAUGUUUGUAAAUAAAUGAGCAAUUGAGUGGACUAUAAUGUUGCUUCUAAAAACCCUGGGUUUUGAACACAGAGAAGAUGAGAAUAAAAGGAAAGGAAUAAGGAUUUUCCCCAAAUCAAGGUGAGGUUGAUGUAAAUGUCCUCCAAAGUUGGUCUAAUCUCCAAAGAAGCUUGUAUCUCAAAAACAGUAAGUCUCCAACAGGCAAAGUCAAUGGCAGUUUGUAGACCUGGAAUUUAGGAGUGCCAGGAAAGAUCUGAAAAAUCAUGUCUUCUAUCAACUGACUGUUGUCUGAAAUUCUGCACUUAGGUUUUAGUCUUUUGAUGUAAAAGUUAUUUUUUUCCAAUUAAAAUGUAAGUAGGAGAUAUACAGUUAAAUUGUACCAUCAGUCUGUCAACUUCGGGGCAUGCAACUAUGCUUACCUGGAUGAAAAAGAAAAUGAAGAAAGUAAAAUAGAAGAACGUAGUUUAAAUUGGGGGAUAAGUCAUGGCAUGAGUAUGUGCCCAGAGCGAGUAUAAGAAGGCCAUGGAAAUCCACUGUAUUUUUGUCAUACACUUAUUAAUUUGUUUCAAUAAGGUUAAUCACUCCACAUGGUGUAACAAGAAAAAUAACAGCCUUUACAAUUACUAGAUUCUUAAACUUAUUUCAAAUACUUUUUAAUUUUUAUGAGAUUAUAAGAAUUUUUUAAACUUUGAAGCUGCAUGCCUUGUCUGAUUCCUUCCAUUUCUCUUCUGCUUCUCACAUUAUUGUGUUCAGCAAUGGUUUGGAGGCAUCUUGGGGAAGACAGAGCAGAGUUAUGGUGUAAGGACCAUCCAACUCUUCUCAGCAGCCAUCCAGUUAUCUUGUCAAGGGAAGUUACUCAUCCUGCUCUCUAGAAUUAUCUCCUCAAAAAUCGGUUUCCUGCUUUUCACAGAACAGUACACCAUCUUUUACUAUUAUCCUAAUUAAUGCUUCUCACACAGCCUUACAAAAUAUUAGUCACUUAAUUAUUAACCACAUUCAUUGGGCUGCACUAGUUGAAAAAGAUGUCUUGUUUACUUAGUCAAAGCGCUGUCUCUGUGCAAUGGCAUUGAUGGUGAAAUUGAUCAGAGUCUACGUUUGAAUGAGAGAAGCUGAGGGAGACAUUUCAGAAAUAGUAAGCCUUUUUAUUUCCUUGGUGUACCAGGUAGUCAAGGAAAGUUAAAGUAUUUUUUUAUACUUUGUCUUGAUUACAUUCUUUUGGGGACUGGUCUCUGGUGUUAGGUUUUUAAUAAAGAUUUUGGCCAUUUUCCAUGCAAACUAAUGUUUCCAAUGAAAAGAUACAACAUUGCAUGUAAAUUACCUAAGAAAUAUUAAUCUGUCAAUGUAAUUAAAUUAUAUAAGCAACAAUUAGUUUCAAAGCUGGAAUGGAUUAAGUCAGUUCUAUACUGCACACUGACAAAGUGAAAGGAACUAAAAUGGACAAAUUGUGGUGCUGUAAGGUUAUGAUUCUUAAGAUUUUUAUAUUAAAGUUGCAGAGUUUCAAAGUGCUCAGUGCUGCUCUUUACAUUAGGGCUGUAGACUCUCUUAAGCCCGAGGAUUCUAUCUGGAUAUGUGAUUGAUAGGGUGGAGGCUGGGCUGAGGCUUAGUAAGACAUUUAACCAUGCUUUGUAUAAUACUCCUUAAAUGUUGGCUCUCACAAACAUAGAAAUAGCGAACAUUAACUAGCUCUCUGUUUCAAUGUCUACCAUCUACCUGUCAACUUAAAAUCAUGAAAUCUAUAAAUUUGGAGAGGAGAGCUUUAUUUCUUACCAAGAGUUGCAGCCAGCAGGGUGGCCAUCCUAACUGGCUGGGAAGUGUAACCUCAGGCAGAGACCAAAAGCAAGUUAUUCAAGGGAGGAUGAGAUAGGAAUUUAUGCUGAAUGGAUUGGCCAAGUAUAUUUAUUUAACAGAUUGUAGGAGGAGCUAUACAUAUCCAUGAAGAGGGGGCAUGUGCAUGAAUAGUAAGCAAACAUGGAUGUUACAUGCAUCCCUUGUUCACUUUGGGGUGCAGACUUCACAUUUAAAUGCAUUCCAAUUAAGCCCU
Molecule: long non-coding RNA, 7713 nt
Filed under: Homo sapiens (human)
Lineage: Eukaryota; Metazoa; Chordata; Mammalia; Primates; Hominidae
Description: non-protein coding lnc-OXGR1-6:6
Source: RNAcentral